CCCUUAGAUGUUCUGGGCCGCACGCGUGCUACACUGAGAGGAUCAGCGGGUCAGGUUGCGCGAAAGUGUUUCCUAAUCUUUAAAUCCGCUCGUGAUGGGGAUUGACGGUUGCAAUUUUCCGUCAUGAACGAGGAAUACCUUGUAAGCGCGGGUCAUCAUCCCGCGCUGAAUACGUCCCUGCCCUUUGUACACACCGCCCGUCGCUCCUACCGAUUGAGUGGUCCGGUGAGGCUUUGGGAUCUGAGCGGAAAGAGCGUUUCGCUGUUUCUGCCCGGAAAACUCAGUCGAACCUUAUCAUUUAGAGGAAGGAGAAGUCGUAACA
RNAcentral lists this ribosomal RNA (322 nucleotides) under uncultured eukaryote. RNAcentral's name for it is "partial 18S ribosomal RNA". It matches the Rfam family "Eukaryotic small subunit ribosomal RNA", at positions 1470 to 1796 of the family's 1831-position model. The record is from RNAcentral.